RNAcentral lists this ribosomal RNA (730 nucleotides) under uncultured bacterium. Its description in RNAcentral is "bacterial SSU rRNA". It matches the Rfam family "Bacterial small subunit ribosomal RNA", at positions 69 to 772 of the family's 1533-position model. The record is from RNAcentral.
GAUCGGAGUGCUUGCACUCUGUGAAACAAGAUACAGGCUAGCGGCGGACGGGUGAGUAACACGUGGGUAACCUGCCCAAGAGAUCGGGAUAACACCUGGAAACAGAUGCUAAUACCGGAUAACAACAGAUGAUGCCUAUCAACUGUUUAAAAGAUGGUUCUGCUAUCACUCUUGGAUGGACCUGCGGUGCAUUAGCUAGUUGGUAGGGUAACGGCCUACCAAGGCGAUGAUGCAUAGCCGAGUUGAGAGACUGAUCGGCCACAUUGGGACUGAGACACGGCCCAAACUCCUACGGGAGGCAGCAGUAGGGAAUCUUCCACAAUGGGCGCAAGUCUGAUGGAGCAACGCCGCGUGAGUGAAGAAGGGUUUCGGCUCGUAAAGCUCUGUUGUUGAUGAAGAAGGACAGGGGUAGUAACUGACCUUUGUUUGACGGUAAUCAAUUAGAAAGUCACGGCUAACUACGUGCCAGCAGCCGCGGUAAUACGUAGGUGGCAAGCGUUGUCCGGAUUUAUUGGGCGUAAAGCGAGUGCAGGCGGUUCGAUAAGUCUGAUGUGAAAGCCUUCGGCUCAACCGGAGAAUUGCAUCAGAAACUGUCGAGCUUGAGUACAGAAGAGGAGAGUGGAACUCCAUGUGUAGCGGUGAAAUGCGUANAUAUAUGGAAGAACACCGGUGGCGAAGGCGGCUCUCUGGUCUGUUACUGACGCUGAGGCUCGAAAGCAUGGGUAGCGAA